This 440-nucleotide ribosomal RNA is filed under the name uncultured bacterium. RNAcentral describes it as "partial 16S ribosomal RNA". It matches the Rfam family "Bacterial small subunit ribosomal RNA", at positions 338 to 795 of the family's 1533-position model. The record is from RNAcentral.
CCUACGGGGGGCAGCAGUGGGGAAUAUUGCACAAUGGGGGAAACCCUGAUGCAGCGACGCCGCGUGAGUGAAGAAGUAAUUCGUUAUGUAAAGCUUUAUCAGUAGGGAAGAAAAUGGCGGUACCUGAGUGAGAAGCCCCGGCUAACUACGUGCCAGCAGCCGCGGGAAUACGUAGGGGGCCAGCGUUAUCCGGAUUUACUGGGGUGAAAGGGGGCGUAGACGGGAGAGCAAGUCUGGAGUGAAAGGCGGGGGCUCAAACCAAGGACUGCUCUGGAAACUGUACGGCUUGAGUGCAGGAGAGGUAAGUGGAAUUCCUAGUGUAGCGGUGAAAUGCGUAGAUAUUAGGAGGAACACCAGUGGCGAAGGCGGCUUACUGGACUGUAACUGACGUUGAGGCUCGAAAGCGUGGGGAGCAAACAGGAUUAGAUACCCCUGUAGUC